RNAcentral lists this ribosomal RNA (761 nucleotides) under uncultured bacterium. Its description in RNAcentral is "bacterial SSU rRNA". It matches the Rfam family "Bacterial small subunit ribosomal RNA", at positions 35 to 797 of the family's 1533-position model. The record is from RNAcentral.
GCUAGCGGCAGGCCUAACACAUGCAAGUCGAGGGGUAGAACACUUCGGUGUUUGAGACCGGCGCACGGGUGCGUAACGCGUAUGCAAUCUACCUUAUACAGGGGAAUAGCCCAGAGAAAUUUGGAUUAAUGCCCCAUAGUAUUACGAAACGGCAUCGUUUUGUGAUUAAAGUUCCAACGGUAUAAGAUGAGCAUGCGUCCCAUUAGUUAGUUGGUAAGGUAACGGCUUACCAAGACAAUGAUGGGUAGGGGUCCUGAGAGGGAGAUCCCCCACACCGGUACUGAGACACGGACCAGACUCCUACGGGAGGCAGCAGUGAGGAAUAUUGGUCAAUGGGCGCAAGCCUGAACCAGCCAUGCCGCGUGCAGGAAGAAGCAUCUAUGGUGUGUAAACUGCUUUUAUACAGGAAGAAACAACGCUACGUGUAGCGUCUUGACGGUACUGUAAGAAUAAGGACCGGCUAACUCCGUGCCAGCAGCCGCGGUAAUACGGAGGGUCCAAGCGUUAUCCGGAAUCAUUGGGUUUAAAGGGUCCGUAGGCGGUCUUAUAAGUCAGUGGUGAAAUCUCCUAGCUCAACUAGGAAACUGCCAUUGAUACUGUAAGACUUGAAUUUUUGUGAAGUAACUAGAAUAUGUAGUGUAGCGGUGAAAUGCUUAGAUAUUACAUGGAAUACCAAUUGCGAAGGCAGGUUACUAACAAACGAUUGACGCUGAUGGACGAAAGCGUGGGGAGCGAACAGGAUUAGAUACCCUGGUAGUCCA